Molecule: long non-coding RNA, 284 nt
Organism: Ruditapes philippinarum (Manila clam)
Lineage: Eukaryota; Metazoa; Mollusca; Bivalvia; Venerida; Veneridae
Exons: 2
Source: RefSeq, a predicted model, not a curated record
GACUGUGCGUCUGCGUGUGUAAACACAACAAUCCUGGGUGUGCAAUUCGUUCUCAUAUUGUUUCGAUACCGGAUACUGCGUGUUGUCCAAACUUCAUCCAGACGAGCGUCCGUCAGUUGUCGUAAAUAUGAUGCUAUGUGAUUUAUAUACAAAUAUCACAAAGUUCAUAUUUUUAUCUGAACUAGAACUGCCACCAUCAUGGCGUGAAUACCCCCGCAUACCACUUUGUCAGAAUCAACAGUGGCCAUUUAGAGCUCAAGGACAACCUCCCUGCCAAAUCUGAG